AUUGAACGCUGGCGGCAGGCCUAACACAUGCAAGUCGAGCGGAUGAGUGGAGCUUGCUCCAUGAUUCAGCGGCGGACGGGUGAGUAAUGCCUAGGAAUCUGCCUGGUAGUGGGGGACAACGUUUCGAAAGGAACGCUAAUACCGCAUACGUCCUACGGGAGAAAGUGGGGGAUCUUCGGACCUCACGCUAUCAGAUGAGCCUAGGUCGGAUUAGCUAGUUGGUGAGGUAAAGGCUCACCAAGGCGACGAUCCGUAACUGGUCUGAGAGGAUGAUCAGUCAAACUGGAACUGAGACACGGUCCAGACUCCUACGGGAGGCAGGAGUGGGGAAUAUUUGACAAUUGGCGAAAGCCUGAUCCAGCCAUGCCGCGUGUGUGAAGAAGGUCUUCGGAUUGUAAAGCACUUUAAGUUGGGAGGAAGGGCAGUAAGUUAAUACCUUGCUGUUUUGACGUUACCAACAGAAUAAGCACCGGCUAACUUCGUG
This 484-nucleotide ribosomal RNA is filed under the name uncultured bacterium. RNAcentral's name for it is "partial 16S ribosomal RNA". It matches the Rfam family "Bacterial small subunit ribosomal RNA", at positions 30 to 507 of the family's 1533-position model. The record is from RNAcentral.